RNAcentral lists this ribosomal RNA (253 nucleotides) under uncultured bacterium. RNAcentral's name for it is "partial 16S ribosomal RNA". It matches the Rfam family "Bacterial small subunit ribosomal RNA", at positions 524 to 776 of the family's 1533-position model. The record is from RNAcentral.
UACAGAGGUCUCAAGCGUUGUUCGGAUUCACUGGGCGUAAAGGGUGCGUAGGUGGUCGGGUAAGUCUGCUGUGAAAUCCCGCAGCUCAACUGCGGAACUGCAUUGGAAACUAUCCGGCUAGAGGAAUGGAGGGGAGACUGGAAUUCUCGGUGUAGCAGUGAAAUGCGUAGAUAUUGGGAGGAACACCAGUGGCGAAGGCGGCUCACUGGACCGGUACUGACGCUGAGGCGCGAAAGCGUGGGGAGCAAACAGG